Molecule: long non-coding RNA, 273 nt
Filed under: Homo sapiens (human)
Lineage: Eukaryota; Metazoa; Chordata; Mammalia; Primates; Hominidae
Description: non-protein coding lnc-BRF2-19:1
Source: RNAcentral
GCUGAGGAAGGGAAGAUUGCUUGAGUCCAGGAGUUCAAGACCAGCUUGGACAGCACAGUGAAACCUUGUCUCAUUAAAAAAAAAAAAAAAAAAAAAAAAAAAAAAAAAAAAAAAAAAAAAAAAAAAACAGAGAGACAGCGAGAAAGAGAAAGAAUUACUGAAUUACAAAGGAAUAUUACUUCUUGGAGGAUGAGAAUAAAGUUUCUGAGUAGCUGGGAUUACAGUUGCCUGCCUCCAUGCCCAGAUAACUUUUGCAUUUUUAGUAGAGACGGG